RNAcentral lists this transfer RNA (77 nucleotides) under Nanobdellota archaeon. RNAcentral describes it as "tRNA-Arg". It matches the Rfam family "tRNA". From Rfam's summary of the family: Transfer RNA (tRNA) molecules are approximately 80 nucleotides in length. Lineage: Archaea; Nanobdellati; Nanobdellota. The record is from RNAcentral.
GCCUCCGUAGUAUAGUCCGGAUAAAAUAAUGGAUUGCGGAUCCAUAGUCCCGAGUUCGAAUCUCGGCGGGGGCACCA